Triticum aestivum (bread wheat) is the source of this 114-nucleotide non-coding RNA. The record is from Rfam. NCBI's taxonomy places the organism in Eukaryota, Viridiplantae, Streptophyta, Magnoliopsida, Poales, Poaceae.
CUGCUACUCCCUCCGUUCAGAAUUACUUGUCUCAAAAAUGGAUAUAUCUAGACGUAUUUUAAUUCUAGAUAUAUCCAUAUCCGAGACAAGUAAUUCCGAACGGAGGAUUACUUC